AGUGGCAAAGAGCAACCAAAGAACUACAUGUAAGUGUUUCACUGCUUCAUCCCAGAGAAGGCACAAUAUCAAUAUUGCCCACAUUUCAUGACCAUAUCAUAUCAUAUUAGCCUCCCUACUGAUUUAUCAGUGAUGAAAUUGGACACACUCGAUUUUCCUCCCACUGGUAAUAUUUGCAGUCAGCAUGAAUAGACUUUCUCAGUACAGUUUUCAACUCCUGGCACAACAGUAUCCUUUUUCCAAACUAUAGCAUAAAUCACAGAAAAGUAUCUCCUCAUUUGUUUGGGAUGAGUUUUAAUUCAGAAACAAUUUAUAGUAAUAUUCUAAGAGACUGACUGAAUUUGCUUUCCCAACUGAAAAAGGAAUCAACUAUUUGUUAUUAUUUAAUGAAGCUUUGAAGCAUGAGGAAGUCAAUUAUUCUUCAGUGCAGUGAUGUACAAAGGGGACUCCUGCAUUUUCCCUGUUCCCUGAAGAGAUUAAGAACUUCUGAGUGGAGACAAACGGGAAAAAAUAUUGUUUGUGGAACCUUGCCUAGGCUUGAUGAGAAGGAGGAAAGAGCUCUUACAGCUAAAACUAAUCAGUAACUGUGGUUUCUCCAAACAUGGAAGAAUUUUCCAUCAACAGUCACAAUGGGGAGUGUCUAGUUGGACCAUCAUGGAAGAUGGAUGGGCCUCAAGAAGGUUAGCAGGAUUAAAUGAAGCAAAAAGGAUGGAGCCCUAAUUCAAUAGGAAUGAUGUGAUUAUAAGAAGAGAAAGAGACACCAAAGCACAGAGGCAAGAUGGUGUGAGGACACAAUGGGAAGGUGGCAUCUGCAACUAAGGAGAGAAGCUUCUGGAUAAACCAAAUUUGCUGACCUCUUAACCUUGGACAUCCAGUCUCUAGAACAGUGAAAAAAUUAAUUUCUGUGGUUUAAACUACAUAGUCUUUGCAACUUUGUUAUGGCAGCCCUGGCAGACUAUCAGAAAUGCAUUAAGAUGUUCACAAAAAGAAAUGUACAAAAUGUUCUUAGCAACAUUCUUGUAUUUGGUUAUUCUGAGAAUAACCAAAGCCUAAAAACAGUCCAGAUGUCCAUCAAGUGUAAUUUGUAUAAAUUAUGUUUAUUUAUUCCAAACAAUGUAAUUUGGCAAUGAAAACUAACAGAUUACAGCUAGACACAGCAACAGGAAUAAAUCACAAACAUAAUGUUGAGCCAAAGAA
This is a long non-coding RNA of Homo sapiens (human), 1197 nucleotides long. Ensembl annotates it as long intergenic non-protein coding RNA 1069. The record is from Ensembl. NCBI's taxonomy places the organism in Eukaryota, Metazoa, Chordata, Mammalia, Primates, Hominidae.